Marmota marmota marmota (Alpine marmot) is the source of this 315-nucleotide unclassified non-coding RNA. Its record names the gene 7SK. It matches the Rfam family "7SK RNA". Rfam says of the family: 7SK was discovered as an abundant small nuclear RNA in the mid-70s but a possible function has only recently been suggested. The record is from Ensembl. NCBI's taxonomy places the organism in Eukaryota, Metazoa, Chordata, Mammalia, Rodentia, Sciuridae.
GGAUGUGAGGGCGAUCUGGCUGCGACAUCUGUCACCCCAUUGAUCGCCAGGGUUGAUUCGGCUGAUCUGGCUGGCUAGGCAGGUGUCCCCUUCCUCCCUCACCGCUCCAUGUGUGUCCCUCCCUCCCGAAGCUGCUCACUCGGUUGAAGAGGACGACCUUCCCCGAUAGAGGAGGACCGUUCUUCGGUCAAGGGUCAAGAGUAGCUGCACUCCCCUGCUAGAACCUCCAAACAAGCUCUCAAGGUCCAUUUGGUGUUUUUUUUUUUAAAUAAAUUUUCAAACUUACACUUGAUCUUCAGACAGAAUAAUUUCAUU